RNAcentral lists this ribosomal RNA (608 nucleotides) under Streptomyces sp. SCAU7016. RNAcentral's name for it is "bacterial SSU rRNA". It matches the Rfam family "Bacterial small subunit ribosomal RNA", at positions 85 to 706 of the family's 1533-position model. Lineage: Bacteria; Bacillati; Actinomycetota; Actinomycetes; Kitasatosporales; Streptomycetaceae. The record is from RNAcentral.
GAGGGGAUUAGUGGCGAACGGGUGAGUAACACGUGGGCAAUCUGCCCUGCACUCUGGGACAAGCCCUGGAAACGGGGUCUAAUACCGGAUACUGACCCGCUUGGGCAUCCAAGCGGUUCGAAAGCUCCGGCGGUGCAGGAUGAGCCCGCGGCCUAUCAGCUUGUUGGUGAGGUAAUGGCUCACCAAGGCGACGACGGGUAGCCGGCCUGAGAGGGCGACCGGCCACACUGGGACUGAGACACGGCCCAGACUCCUACGGGAGGCAGCAGUGGGGAAUAUUGCACAAUGGGCGAAAGCCUGAUGCAGCGACGCCGCGUGAGGGAUGACGGCCUUCGGGUUGUAAACCUCUUUCAGCAGGGAAGAAGCGAAAGUGACGGUACCUGCAGAAGAAGCGCCGGCUAACUACGUGCCAGCAGCCGCGGUAAUACGUAGGGCGCGAGCGUUGUCCGGAAUUAUUGGGCGUAAAGAGCUCGUAGGCGGCUUGUCACGUCGGUUGUGAAAGCCCGGGGCUUAACCCCGGGUCUGCAGUCGAUACGGGCAGGCUAGAGUUCGGUAGGGGAGAUCGGAAUUCCUGGUGUAGCGGUGAAAUGCGCAGAUAUCAGGAGGAA